Molecule: ribosomal RNA, 826 nt
Filed under: Pulveroboletus sp. Garcia 16719
Lineage: Eukaryota; Fungi; Basidiomycota; Agaricomycetes; Boletales; Boletaceae
Description: eukaryotic LSU rRNA
Rfam family: Eukaryotic large subunit ribosomal RNA
Source: RNAcentral
AGGAAAAGAAACUAACAAGGAUUCCCCUAGUAACUGCGAGUGAAGCGGGAAGAGCUCAAAUUUUGAAUCUGGCGGUCUUUUUGACCGUCCGAGUUGUAAUCUAGAGAAGCGUUUUCUGUACUGGACCGUGCACAAGUCUCCUGGAAGGGAGCGUCAUAGAGGGUGAGAAUCCCGUCUUUGGCAUGGACUACCAGUGCUCUGUGAUGCGCUCUCGACGAGUCGAGUUGUUUGGGAAUGCAGCUCAAAAUGGGUGGUAAAUUCCAUCUAAAGCUAAAUACAGGCGAGAGACCGAUAGCGAACAAGUACCGUGAGGGAAAGAUGAAAAGAACUUUGGAAAGAGAGUUAAACAGUAUGUGAAAUUGCUGAAAGGGAAACACUUGAUGUCAGUCGCAUCAGCUUGGGAUCAACCUUGCUUAAUUGCUGGGUGCACUUCCUGGCUGAUGGGUCAGCAUCAGUUUCGCUCACUGUACAAUGGUCAAGGGAAUGUGGCACUCUCUCGAGAGUGUGUUAUAGCCUUUGGUCGUAUGCAGUGGAUGGGACUGAGGAACUCGGCACGGCUUCUUGUUUGUGUCUAGGAUGCUGGCAUAAUGGCCUUAAGUGACCCGUCUUGAAACACGGACCAAGGAGUCUAACUUGCCUGCGAGUGUUUGGGUGGUAAACCCAGGCGCGUAAUGAAAGUGAAAGUCGAGACCUCUGUCGUGGAGGGCACCGACGCCCGGACCCGAGUCUUUGACAAAGGAUCUGCGGUAGAGCAUGCAUGUUGGGACCCGAAAGAUGGUGAACUAUGCCUGAAUAGGGUGAAGCCAGAGGAAACUCUGGUGGAGGC